Molecule: ribosomal RNA, 518 nt
Filed under: uncultured bacterium
Lineage: Bacteria
Description: bacterial SSU rRNA
Rfam family: Bacterial small subunit ribosomal RNA
Source: RNAcentral
AGAACUUAGCAGAGAUGCUUUGGUGCCUUCGGGAACUCUGAGACAGGUGCUGCAUGGCUGUCGUCAGCUCGUGUUGUGAAAUGUUGGGUUAAGUCCCGCAACGAGCGCAACCCUUUAUCCUUUGUUGCCAGCGGUCCGGCCGGGAACUCAAAGGAGACUGCCAGUGAUAAACUGGAGGAAGGUGGGGAUGACGUCAAGUCAUCAUGGCCCUUACGAGUAGGGCUACACACGUGCUACAAUGGCGCAUACAAAGAGAAGCGACCUCGCGAGAGCAAGCGGACCUCAUAAAGUGCGUCGUAGUCCGGAUUGGAGUCUGCAACUCGACUCCAUGAAGUCGGAAUCGCUAGUAAUCGUGGAUCAGAAUGCCACGGCGAAUACGUUCCCGGGCCUUGUACACACCGCCCGUCACACCAUGGGAGUGGGCUGCAAAAGAAGUAGGUAGCUUAACCUUCGGGAGGGCGCUUACCACUUUGUGAUUCAUGACUGGGGUGAAGUCGUAACAAGGUAAGCGUAGUGCU